RNAcentral lists this ribosomal RNA (465 nucleotides) under uncultured Klebsiella sp. RNAcentral describes it as "bacterial SSU rRNA". It matches the Rfam family "Bacterial small subunit ribosomal RNA", at positions 338 to 795 of the family's 1533-position model. Lineage: Bacteria; Pseudomonadati; Pseudomonadota; Gammaproteobacteria; Enterobacterales; Enterobacteriaceae. The record is from RNAcentral.
CCUACGGGUGGCUGCAGUGGGGAAUAUUGCACAAUGGGCGCAAGCCUGAUGCAGCCAUGCCGCGUGUGUGAAGAAGGCCUUCGGAUUGUAAAGCACUUUCAGCGGGGAGGAAGGCGGUGAGGUUAAUAACCUCAUCGAUUGACGUUACCCGCAGAAGAAGCACCGGCUAACUCCGUGCCAGCAGCCGCGGUAAUACGGAGGGUGCAAGCGUUAAUCGGAAUUACUGGGCGUAAAGCGCACGCAGGCGGUCUGUCAAGUCGGAUGUGAAAUCCCCGGGCUCAACCUGGGAACUGCAUUCGAAACUGGCAGGCUAGAGUCUUGUAGAGGGGGGUAGAAUUCCAGGUGUGGCGGUGAAAUGCGUAGAGAUCUGGAGGAAUGCCGGUGGCGAAGGCGGCCCCCUGGACAAAGACUGACGCUCAGGUGCGAAAGCGUGGGGAGCAGACAGGAUUAGAUACCCCAGUAGUC